This 24-nucleotide ribosomal RNA is filed under the name Cliffortia browniana. The record is from RNAcentral. RNAcentral also lists the same sequence under 1 other name. Lineage: Eukaryota; Viridiplantae; Streptophyta; Magnoliopsida; Rosales; Rosaceae.
GGUUGCGAUCAUACCAGCAAUAAU